UACGGAGGGUGCAAGCGUUGUCCGGAUUUAUUGGGUUUAAAGGGUGCGUAGGCGGCCCUGUAAGUCAGUGGUGAAAUGCGGCAGCUUAACUGUCGAACUGCCAUUGAUACUGCAGGGCUUGAGUACAGACGAGGUAGGCGGAAUUUAUGGUGUAGCGGUGAAAUGCAUAGAUACCAGAAAGAACACCUAUUGCGAAGGCAGCUUACUAGGCUGUAACUGACGCUGAGGCACGAAAGCGUGGGGAGCGAACAGG
RNAcentral lists this ribosomal RNA (253 nucleotides) under uncultured bacterium. RNAcentral's name for it is "partial 16S ribosomal RNA". It matches the Rfam family "Bacterial small subunit ribosomal RNA", at positions 524 to 776 of the family's 1533-position model. The record is from RNAcentral.